Molecule: ribosomal RNA, 201 nt
Filed under: uncultured bacterium
Lineage: Bacteria
Description: partial 16S ribosomal RNA
Rfam family: Bacterial small subunit ribosomal RNA
Source: RNAcentral
GACGAACGCUGGCGGCGUGCUUAACACAUGCAAGUCGAGCGGUAAGGCCCUUUCGGGGGUACGACGAGCGGCGAACGGGUGAGUAACACGUGGGUGACCUGCCCUUAGCUCUGGGAUAAGCCUGGGAAACUGGGGUCUAAUACCGGAUAUGACUCCAUGACGCAUGUUGUGGGGUGGAAAGGCCUUGUGCGGCUAGGGGAU